UAAGUUCCUGGUAAAAUCGGGCAGCUCAACUGUCCGCGUGCUAGGAAUACUGCGUUACUAGAGGGCGGGAGAGGUCUGAGGUACUGCGGGGGUAGGGGUGAAAUCUUAUAAUCCUCGCAGGACCACCAGUGGCGAAAGCGUCAGACUGGAACGCGCCUGACGGUGAGGGACGAAAGCCAGGGGAGCGAACCGGAUUAGAUACCCGGGUAGUCCUGGCCGUAAACGAUGCGCACUAGGUGAUGGUGCGGCUAUGAGCCGCAUCAGUGUCGUAGGGAAACCGUUAAGUGUGCCGCCUGGGAAGUACGGUUGCAAGGCUUAAACUUAAAGGAAUUGGCGGGGGAGCACCACAAGGGGUGAAGCCUGCGGUUCAAUUGGACUCAACGCCGGGCAACUUACCAGGGGAGACAGCAGAAUGAGGGUCAGGUUGACGACCUUACCUGACAAGCUGAGAGGAGGUGCAUGGCCGUCGCCAGUUCGUGCUGUGAGGUAUCCUGUUAAGUCAGGCAACGAACGAGACCCGCACCUUUAUUUGCCAGCAAGAAGUCACGACUUCGUUGGGAACGAUAAAGGGACCGCCGUCGAUAAGACG
This 589-nucleotide ribosomal RNA is filed under the name uncultured euryarchaeote. Its description in RNAcentral is "bacterial SSU rRNA". It matches the Rfam family "Archaeal small subunit ribosomal RNA", at positions 534 to 1121 of the family's 1478-position model. The record is from RNAcentral. Lineage: Archaea; Methanobacteriati; Methanobacteriota.